UCAAAUCAGGCUAUGAUUAUCUUGUAAUUUUAUUGAAGUAGCCUACAUGUGCUUAUGUAGUGGGUAACUGGUGCUAACACCAUUAGGAGCCACAGGAGGGGUUGAUUGAAAUUUUCUUAAAAAAAGAGACUAAUGCACCUGAGUAAUCACUGACCUAGGGUUGUGGGCUUUAUUUUUUUUUGCAUAAAGAUUCAUUUAGUUGCCCAAUAUAUUCCUGCAAAGAACUAUUGAAGAAAAUUGAUUUCAAAAGCAUGUCUUGUUUUUCUCUUUCCCCCCCCCCCCCCCAACUCCUUUAACCACUUUUCACAUUUCCCAUGUGUUCAAAGAUAAUGAAUAAUGUUACAGGGAAACGCAGGAAGAAAAAAAUUAUUGGGCGCAUCUUCUUACUUGUGAGCGAGCAGGAGUGUGUCAUGGCUUUCCCAAUAACAGGCAAGGUGUUUACCAGCUGAACGGAUUCUCAGGGGUGGCCGAACUUUGAUACUGAUCUCUUUAGGUGUCAAUGAAAACAUCUCAGGAAGACCUUAUUGAUAGAAAAAUGUAGAGAAAUGUGUUUAGUACAACAUCAUUCUUGCUGACCCUGAGGAGGGAUCCUCGUCUUAUAAAUAAGCUGGAUAGAACACCAAGGCCUAAAUCAAGAAUUACCAACACCUGCAAGCGACAAACAUCAAAUAUUUAACCAACUCAUAUCAAAUUCAGAAGGGAAUAUAAACAUAUACAGUUGCUGAUCAUUAUCCCGUUUCACAAUGAAGCAUAAUCAAUGUAUAUGGAAUUAUGUGAGAGUUCAAACCUAAGACUUCCCAUGUUAAUUUGUCAUUCCUCUAUGAAAGAAAACUAUAUAGAUUAUGAGAAACUUUUGNNNNNNNNNNNNNNNNNNNNNNNNNNNNNNNNNNNNNNNNNNNNNNNNNNNNNNNNNNNNNNNNNNNNNNNNNNNNNNNNNNNNNNNNNNNNNNNNNNNNUUUUUUUUUUGAAAUUUUUCCCAAAAUUUUUUUUUUCGCCGUGAAAAAUUAGGGGAAAGUUUUUUUAAAUUUUUUGGGGUUUUUUUUUUUAUAUAAAUUUAAAAAAAAAAAAAAGGGGGUUCACCCCUUUUUAAAAAUUUCCCCGUUUUUUUUUUAAAAAAAAAACCCCCCCCCCUUUUUUUUUUCCUUUUUUUUUUUUUUUAAAAAAAAAUAAUAUAAAAAAAAAUCCCUUUUUUUUUAAAAUUUUCCCUUUUUUUUUUUAUAAAAAACCCGUUUUUUUUUUUUUUUUUUUUUUUUUAAAUUCCCCCCAUUUUUUUUUUUUUGGGGAAAAAGGUUUUAACCCCCUUUGGGCCCCCCGGGGGGGUUUUUUAAAUUUUUUUUAAAAAAAAAAAAAUAUCCCCCCUGUAUUUUCCUUCCCCUGGGUUUUGGGGUUUUUUUUUUUUUUGAAAAAAAUUUUUUUUUUUUCCCCAAAUUUUUCCCCCAAAAAAUUUUUAAAAAAAAUUUUUUUAAAAACCUUUUUUUUUUUUUUUUUUUCCCCCCCCCCCCCCCCCCCCCCCCCCAACCAAGGAGGAAAAUGUCGGGAUAUAUCGGGAGGAGUCGACACGAUAUCUCGUGGAGAAAAAUCGGAGGGGAGAUAUUUCCGCAAAAAUCGCCAAAAUAUCGGCGAUAUAUCGGCUCAGGGAGAUAUAUCGGCGAAGAUAAAUUGUCGAUUUUUUGGCGAUAUUUCCCCUCCUUCAUGCAACGUGAUCUGACGGCCUAGAUCACGCUCGUGUUGAUCCGACGGCCUAGAUGUGAUUCCAAUGGUAAUAUGGCGAUCCAACGACCAGAUUGCUCCUAGUUUUUGAUCCAACGGCCAAAAUUAAUUUUCAACGGUAAAUUAAUGUUCCAACGGCUAUUUUGGCCAAAAUUUCUUCUAUAAAUAGCCCAAAUUUCAUCUAUUUCAUCCAUUUUUGCUUUCAUUCUUCAUUUGCUCUCUCAUUACUCCAAUUUUUAUUAAGGUUGCUCAAUUAUUUAAUCAUUUUAAGGUAUAUUUGUUUUAAAUUGUAAUUAAUUUUGUUUGCAGUUGUAAUUAAUUCAUGUAUUUUCAAUUAAUUAGUAUGUUUGCAAUAUGGAUGAUUUAAUGCUAUUUUUACAUUCAAUUGUAAUUAAUUUUUACAUUUUUAUUGAAUUAACUUAGGUUAAUUUGAUUAUUUAAUUAUAAAUUGAUAUGUUUAUUUUAGAUGAUUAUUUGUGAUUUAUUUUCACAUUUAGAAUUAAAUUAAACUAGUUAACUUAGCUAAAUUAUUUAAUUAACAUGAACUAGUAUAUUUUGAAUAUGAAAUAUGUUUAUUUAAUGAAUUUAAUGUGUACAAAUUAUUGAUAUUUAAUGAAAUGAAGUAUUUUAUGUGACUUUAUAAUGAGAACAAUUACAAAAUUAACAUUUCUUAUAGAUCGACAUGAUAUAAUUACAUCUAAUAUCACAAAUUAUAUCAUAUGUAUAUCAAAUUUUUCAAUAAAACAACUUUAAAAUGUCCAUUAUACUUUUAAUUAUAUCAUUAUGGGGUUUUCCUUGUAUUUCCAUGAGUUUUUAACAAUUUUAAGCCUACCGAUAUUUUUUUCCAAAAUAUUUGUCAAUAUAUCUCCGAUAUAUCCGAUAUAUCCGUAAAAUCGAAGUACCGAUAUAUCCGUGAUUACCAAUAUUUUCAUCCUUGCCCCCAACACACACAUGCCCCCUUAAUAUUUUUGGUAGCUACUGAAGUUGGUUGAAUUGAUUCAAUUAACUGAUUGACGUUCCACAAAUUUGGAACUUAUAGAUUAUCAAUCUGUGUUGCAAACUGGCAUAUAAAAGAAAAAAUCAUGUGUGUUGUGAACUGAAUUGAUUUGUCUUACAAGUGUUAAUUAUUUCUACAUGCUUCAAAUGUUCCAGGUCUUUUGGGAUUAUUAAACGGUUUGACAACAAUUCCAAAAAACACCUGGUAAGGGAAGAUUUCCUGUGUUCUGUAAGAUUAGUUGACAAUAUGUUUAUAUUCAUAUAAGAUACAUCUCUGUUGUUGCAGAUCAUGUUUGAAGAUGGUGAUGGGGAAUUUCUUGACAUGUCAAAAGAAGAUUGGGAAUUUGUAACUUUAUGAUGUAAUAUGGGGUGAGUUUGUCCUUUACUUAACAGUGCUUCUAUUUCAAAGUUGGUAUUGGAUCUAAUACUGUAAUGCUAUAUUCUCAUUAUUUCUGUAUAUAUACUUAAAAAUUGACAAAAUAUGAUAUGGUAUGAUUCUUACAAGUGCACUACAGUUUCAGCUAAAAUGAUACGGAUCACUGAUAUGUAUUGCAUCUCAUGACACAUAUAAUGCACAGUACCAUAACAAUAUAAUAUGUUAAGGUUGAAAGUCAAUGAAAAAAAGGAAGGGAAGAGAGAAUGAUGACAUGGGUGUUGAAAGCAAAGAAAAUAAGUGAAAUUUGAUUAUUGUUGCUAUGAAUGUUGGGGAAAUGUGGUUUGAAUCGAACACAUGGUUGCUUGGAUGAUGUAAAUAUUGACCAUGAGAAUGAUGAUGACCAAGAACAAAAGUUUCUUCUUAAUCUAUUAUAGUUUUCUUUCAUAGAGGAAUGACAAUUAACAUGGGAAGUCUUAGUUUUGAACUUCUCACAUAAUUCCAUAUACAUUGAUUAUGCUUUCAUUGUUGAAACGGGAUAAUGAUCAGCAACUGUAUAUGUUUAUAUUCCCUUCUGAAUUUGAUAUGAGUUGGUUAAAUAUUUGAUGUUGUCGCCUUGCAGGUGUUGGUAAUUCUUGAUUUAGGCCUUGGUGUUCUAUCCAGCUUAUUUAUAAGACGAGGAUCCCUCCUCAGGGUCAGCAAGAAUGAUGUUGUACUAAACACAUUUCUCUACAUUUUUCUAUCAAUAAGGUCUUCCUGAGAUGUUUUCAUUGACACCUAAAGAGAUCAGUAUCAAAGUUCGGCCACCCCUGAGAAUCCGUUCAGCUGGUAAACACCUUGCCUGUUAUUGGGAAAGCCAUGACACACUCCUGCUCGCUCACAAGUAAGAAGAUGCGCCCAAUAAUUUUUUUCUUCCUGCGUUUCCCUGUAACAUUAUUCAUUAUCUUUGAACACAUGGGAAAUGUGAAAAGUGGUUAAAGGAUCUUGCUCUUGAAAUCUGAUGUGAAAAGUUGAGCUUAAUUAGAUGCUUUAGAUAAUCUAGUUGGAAGAUGUCGAAUUCUAAUGCUUGGAAGCAUCCAUUGUACUGAACCUUUUGUGGUUGGAUCAUCCUUGUAUUUCUAUGUUUAAUGGCGUUUGUUUGGCUUAAGGUAGAGGACAAUGGAGUGGGAAACAAUCUCCCUCAUGUACUGAAAAAUUUCGAUAUAACCAACUGUAUUGAAAUCUGACUGUAAAAUAAAGCAGCUACUAAUUACUAUUAUUGUUUGUUGUGUCAUUUAAUUAUUGAGCUGGCUGCUUUUCCUUCUUUUGUUUUGACUGUAGGUCAAAGUGGUGGCCCUUUCACCUUUUUUUUUAAACUUAGAUGGUGUUUGUUUUUUUAGUUUUUUAUUGAAAAUAAUUUGUUUGUUUUUCUACUCUUUUAUAAAUUUUUUACUAAACAGAAAAAAUUAAAAUAUGUAGUUUUUUCUAAAUAAAAAAAAUAAAAUAUUGAUUUUUUUUUACUUUUUAAUACUUAAUAUAAAUAAAAUACUAUAAAAAUAAAUAAUAUAAUAUUUAACAUUAUUAACGUUAGAAUUAAGUAAAAAAAUAAACAUAUCAAAGUAAUAGAAAUGUAGAAAAACUUAAGAUGCUUUGCCACCCUACCAAUCUCUUUCUUUUCUUAUAUUUGUUAUUUAUAAUAAAUUUGUUCAAAUUUAGGCAUAUAUUUUAAAUCUUACGUGACUAAUAAUAAAAUAUAUUAUAUCCAUGUCACAUUUUGUUGUUAUACAGACUUUUAUUUUUAAUAUUUAUUUCAUGAAUUUAUUCUUUUUGAGUCCUUUUUACUUCAGAAAUGAAUGCUUAACAUUUCUUUGACAAGUCAAAUGCCAGUCCUGUUAAUCAAUUUCCUGUUCCACGAAGACAAAAAACAAACAAACAAAAAAGAAAAAAAUAGAAGCUUCCGUAUUUGGUCACCGACCCUCCCACGUGAAUUGAAUUCAACUUCUGUUUGUCAUUGUAGAUGUAAGUUUUUGAACUCCUCGACCGCUUCUCACCCUUUUUAUUAAUACCUCCUCUCCCCCAUAAUUCUACUCAAUCCCUUCAUCACAACCCCCAUUUCUUUGUGCCAAAAAUUCAUCAAUGGAGGAGAAAUGGUGGUUUGUUUUUGUAUUUUUUGCAUCUCUUUUAUUUGUGAGGUCCAAGUUCAAGUCCCGGUCCAAGUCCAAGUCCAAUCUCCCUCCAGGGCCAAGUACAUUUCCGAUCAUCGGAAAUUUAUUAUGGUUGCGAAAAUCUUUUUCAGAACUCGAGUAUGUGGUAAAGACUCUGCAUGAAAAGCAUGGUCCGAUUGUGAGCCUCCCCUUCGGGUUUAACCCGGCCAUCUUUGUGGCUAGUAACUCCUUGGCUUACCAAGCUCUAGUCCAAAACGGAGCCGUUUUUGCCGACCGCCCUCCCCUACCCAUCACCAGCAAGAUCAUGGCCAGCAGCCAGUGCACCAUAAGCUCCGCCCCCUACGGCCCUGCCUGGCGCCUCCUCCGCCGCAAUCUCACCUCCGAGAUCCUCCACCCCUCGCGCGUGAGGCUAUACUCCCGCGCCCGGAAGUGGGUCCUGGACAUUCUCGUCGCCGGCCUCCGUGAGGAGGCCGAAGGCCGGGACAACGUGGUUUUAGUGGUGAAGCACUUCCACUUCGCCAUGUUCUGCUUGCUGGUUCUCAUGUGCUUCGGCGACGACCUUGGGGAAGCCAAGAUCAGAGAGAUUCAAGGCAUGGAGAGUCGAGUCCUUCAGAGUUAUCACAACUUUAAAAUCCUCAAUUUCUUCCCGGCUAUCGGAAAAUUCUUGUUCCACAAGCGGUGGGAGAAGUUCAUGCAGCUGAGGAAGGAUCAUGAGGACGUGCUCAUCCCUCUGAUUAGAGCUCGGCAACCCUGCAAGAAGACGGAAACGGUGAGCAAACCAAAUCCAUCCAUAACGUGCUACGUCGACACUUUACUGGACCUGCAACUCCCGGACGAGAAGAGGAAGCUCACAGAAGGGGAGAUGGUAAGCUUGUGCUCGGAGUUUCUCAACGCCGGCACCCACACCACGGACGCUCCGCUGCAGUGGAUCAUGGCGAACCUGGUGAAGUACCCGCACAUUCAGGCCAAGCUUUUCGAGGAAAUUAGCGGGGUUGUGGGGGAAGGAGAGGACGAAGUGAAGGAGGAAGAUUUGCAGAAGAUGCCAUACUUGAAGGCGGUGGUGUUAGAGGGUCUCCGGCGGCACACUCCGGCCCACUUUCUGGUACCGCAUGCAGUGACCAAAGACGUGAUAUUAGAUGGGUAUGUGAUCCCAAAGGACGCCAAAGUAUUCUUCAUGGCAGCUGAAAUGGCGUGCAAUCCCGAGGUGUGGGAAGACCCAAUGGAGUUCAAGCCGGAGAGGUUCUUGAACAGCAAUAAUAAUGGUGAAACAUUUGAUAUAACUGGUAGCAGAGAGAUAAAGAUGAUGCCUUUUGGUGCAGGGAGGAGGAUAUGUCCAGGGUAUGGUUUAGGUUUGCUGCAUUUGGAGUAUUUUGUGGCGAACUUGGUGUGGAAAUUUGAAUGGAAGGCUGUGGGUGAAGACGGAGUUGAUCUUUCAGAAAGGCCUCUUGUGUCUCUGCUACCAACCACCAUGAAGAACCCGUUGCAGGCUCGCAUUUCUCCAAGGUUAUCAGCCAGGACUGCAAUGGAGUAAUUGCACACCUGUCCACCAUAUUUUGAUGGUGUACUCCUACUAAUAAUAAUUUAAUAAGAACAAUGAUGAUGAUAAUUCAUUGGAGGUGCUUGCAUGAGUGGGUUAUGAUAUGUGUUUUUGUAUAUUAGUAGGUCGUAGUGGGGAUAUGAGCCUUUUAUCUAUGAGAUCAUAAAUUCAGAAUGAUGAAACAAAUUAGCAAAGACGAGAUCUUUGCUUAGAGGGGGGAAAAUUGAAAAAUAUUAUGAAUCGGAGAUUAUCAAGAAAAUGAAAUACGUACCCAACUUUUAGUCAUGUUUGAUUCCUAGAAAAUACCAUUGAAAGACAAAAAUUUGUUAAGAAAAAUAAUUUUCUCAUACUCAAUUAUGAUAUAAAAAAUAGAAAAAAAAAGUCUAAUAUAAUUAAAAUUAAUAAGAAGAUCAUAUAUUUUUAAAUUAUUUAAUUUUUACAUCAAAGAGUUAAAUAGAUAAAAUGAAUUUAGAGUAAUAUAUAAAAAUAAUUUAUUGACUUUAAAACUUUUUUUUUUUCUCUAUUUUCUUUUCCACACAUUUCUCUUCGAACUUUUUAGAACCAAACAUAGCCUUAAUGAUGGAUACCUAUUUGGAUACAUUUUAUAUAAAAAUAUUUUAUCAUAUAUAAGUAAAAUAGAAACUAAAAAUGUAUUAAAUACAUCAAAUGUAUCUAUUUUUUCUCUUUAUUUUUUUUAUUUUUUAUUUUUUUAUCAUUUUCCCUUAUAUAUUAUCUAGAACUAAACAUAGCAUAAGUUUAUGUUCUUGUAAAAAUUGAGGGAAGUAAAAUAUGGAGGAGAAAGAGGAAAAGAAAAAGGUAAGAAAAAAUUAUAGAAUUUUUAUCUUAUAUUUAAAAAUUUUGAGGGAAUAAAUAAAUAAAUUAAUAUAGAGGAAAAUGCAUGGAGCCAUGAGUGGAUAUGGAUGAAGUAAUGGGGUAAGAAGACUAGGAUUGCAGUGAUGAAUGGAGAGGUGGGGUUGAGUAGGUGAUCAUGAGAGGGAAUGGAUGGCAAGAGUAUGGAGAGGCGCAGGCUGAUUGGUGGGACAAACGAGGCUGGCCAAAUAUGGAGUGGAGAGAGAGAGAGAGAGAGAGAGAGGGAGGGAGGGAGGGAGGGAGAUAGGGAGCAAAAUAGGAAGUAAGGAAUGAGAGAUGGGUAGUGUUGGUGUUAUGAAUAUGGGGCAGUGAAAAGCUAGGGAAGUUGUUGAGGUCGUAGGGAAGUAACCAAAGUGGGAAUGUGUGAGUGGGGGAUGAGGAGGUUUCCAUAGUUGGCUGAAAGACACAAUCAAACGACGAUUUAUUGUCAAUAAUGUGUGAAAUAUCUAUGAGAUAAACAACAAUUUUAAACGUGAAGUAUCAAAAGUGGUGGGGGUAAGGAUGCCCAAUUAAUGAAGUAGUGUGAGUUCUGUUUUGACGAUGUACGUCGAUUGUGAUAUCGGCCCAGGCAACGUGUUAGGUGUAUAUGGAGGUCAGAUGAAAUGUUGGAUCUUCAUUAAAUAUUAUCAGUAGAAGAUUUAGAAAAAAUUUCAACAAUUUUCUUAAACUUUGGAAAGAAUGUGAUAACUUAAAAUUUAUACAACAAAGGGACAAUCAUGAAUAUUUGAUGAAGUGAUCAAAUGAUCAAGUGAGUAUGAAGACUAUUUUGAGAGGCAAUGCAAAUUAUUGAAUGACAAGUGACUAUGGUGGUGUUUGUUUUUUUGGUUUAAUUCUAAAUAGAACUUACAUUUAACUUAAUACUAAAUAAUGUUUAAUAGUAUUAAGUAUUAAGUUGUUUGAUUUUUUAAUAUUUCUAUUAAGUGUUAAACACUAAUAUCUUAAUAUUUUAAUGUAUUAAAAAAAAAAUAAUUUAAAGUAUUUCUAAAAAGUUCAAAAUAAUAAAAUUGUUAUAAUAAAUAAUUUAUCAUUAUUAUCCUUACAAAAAAUAAUUAAUAUAUUUAUUUUUUAUAUAAUUAAAAUAAAAUAUUUAAACUUAAUAAUCUAAAAAAUAAUGGAUUGAUAAAACCUAAAUCAAAUCAAAGAAAAAAACAUAACAAUUCAAGUACAUAUUUUCAAAUAUCAAAACACAUCACAUUUUAUGCUAAUAUCUAAACAUUGCAUUUCUUACAAUGGUAAAAAGCUAAAAAUGACAAGUUAAUUAAAUACUUGAAAAAGUUCAUUUGUGAUUUGGUCUCAAAACCGUUGCAUGAAUUCUUGAUCAGAUGCUGCAAAAAAACUACUUGUAGUUGAAUUUUGAUUUUGAUUUGUAUUGUCACUUUCCAAUUCCACUUCAUUGUCAUAUUCAGAAAAUAAUCUAUCUGCAACUGAGAUUUGUCGAAGAAAAUUGUGAAUGGAGAAGCAUGUCAUGACAAUUUUUGUUUGAGUAGUAAACAAAUAAGGUGUCAUUCUCUUUAAUAUUGGGAAACACGCCUUAACAACACCAAAAGCACGUUCAAUGACAUUUCUUAAUCUUGCAUGACAUUGGUUGAAUAUCUCCCUUUUUCCUCUAGCUUUAUCAUCACUAUGAAAAUCACUCAACCCAAAUUAAAUUCAAAUAGUAGCAUUAAAUUAGAGAUGAUAAAUAUAUAGUUUGGAUAAUGGAAGAAUAGACAACAAAUAUCAAUCCAUUCACAUCUAACCAUUCUAUGUAGAGAAUGAAUUCAUCUAACACAAGAAGCAUUAAAACCCAAAUUAUGCCAACAACACCUAAAGACAGUUUAUAAAAACUGUCCAAAGUCCCUUAAGAUGAUUUUUUUUAAAGCAUUCAAAUAUGGACAUGCACAAAGAGGAAGGUAGGAAGGGUGGGAAGCAUAUAUAUAUAUAUAUAUAUAUAUAUAUAUAUAUAUUUUUUUUUUUUUUCAUUUCUAAAAUUAUUGCCACCUCCAUCUGGUAGUUGGCUGACAAACCAACACCAAAUGAGCUGGGUCAGUCCCAACUGAAAUCUGCUCUGUGACCCGGGAGAGCUGCACUUGUGAGAGGAGUGUGAGAAAGAGAGAGAGAGAGUGAGGUGUGUGUGAAAGAAAUGGUCUGAGUUGUUUGUGAAAUGAAAUAAACCUCCUAUAGUCUUUAGACUGAAUAAUGGUUGUGUGCAGUGCAGAAUUCAGAUUGUGGAUGGAUAAUCAAGUGAAAGAAAAGCAAAACAAGGGGUUCAUCUCAUUGAUUGACAAUGCUGUUCCUCUAUAUGACCGAGAAUAUGCAUUGGGUCUAACUUCAAUGGAUUAUUUGAAUAACCUGGAAAGGUAAUGGAUUUACAUUUAAUAUGUGUAUUGCUGCUUCUUCAGAUAUAUAUGCAAUGAAAGAUUAAAAAAAAAGAAUAAAAAAUUAAAACAUAAAUAUAUAUAGGUGUUUGACACGGUUACCUCUUGAAUUUUAUCCCGCAACAUUUCUGUGUGCUGCAAUAUCACUGUUGGUUUUAAGAUUGUUGUGAGUGAUUGACACAGAAAAGUUUGACAGUUUUAUUGCAUAAACUUUGGCAUGCUUGGGUGAUAUCAUCUUCUGUGGUUGAAAAAGUCUUAAUGCUCAUUACCAUCAGAUCCCUAGCUCCCCUCCUAAUGUCUUAAUGCCUGGGAUAGGGUUGUGACUUUUUCACAUUACAUGGAUGCUUCAGAUUUUGUGGAGUACCUUUUCAGGCAUGAUAAGUGAGCAUGGAAUGAGACGUGUGUUUAGAUUUUCUCCUUUUCAGAUCCAGGAUCAAAUAAAAAACAAGGGAGUACUGAACUUUAACAAUUCUUCCAAAAUAGUAUGAAAAAAAACAAAACAAAACAAAAAACAAUCUUCUCUAGCUGUUUUCAACUACCCUCUUUCCUCUGUUCUUUCACAUGUAUACUAUUUUCUUCAUUUGUUUUAUCAUUUUCAUCCAUCUGUAACAUGUUGGGUGCUCAGUUUUCUUCACUAAGUAUGAACAAAGAAGUCCUCCUAGGGAGUCAUUGUCUCUAAUUAUCAUCCACCCCUUUUAGUCUAUUACCCAUUAUUUAAUGGGGCAUGAAAAGACCAUCCCCAAGAAAAUGACAUCAUGUUGGAGCAUUGACGUGCCCAAACAACAUUGGUUUGCCUGUGCCUACACCAGAGAUUUGUUUGGCAGAGUGAAAUCAAAUUUUACUUUUUGUACUUGUUUGAUUUACCUCUUAACAAGUGUGGGAUUCCAUAAACUAAACACUCUCCUCAAUAGAAGAACAGAUUUGUCGUGCAGUUGAAAACUCCUCUCCAUUCAAUUUAUGAGUUCAAUAAUAGCUGACUUGGAGAUUGCUAGUGUGGUCUCAACAACCAUGUGCAGUAGAUGAGAAAAUUCUUGGAAGUGAUUUCGUGGAGUAUAAUCAUGUGAUUCUAGAAGCUAAAGACACCCAGAAGCUAUGUUCAGGUAACCCAGGCAAAAGAAAGCUUUACAACCCUUAAUAUCUUUAGCCCAACUCUUGAUUGAGUUGAAAUAACCUGUUCUCUCCUACUUAAAGACACCCUUUUUAUACACAAAGUUUUUCGAAAUUGUCAGGAAUGUCAAUAGGUAUAAUUAUUUUGCUGAAUGUUGAAGUAUUCUAAAUACUCAAGGUUUAGCCUAUUCAUAAACAUUUCAUCCAAGUUCCAGAGUCUUAACACUACCCUCUAGAGGAUCACAAAUGUUCCAUGCCCAUCUAAUGAGGGUUUUGGACAGUGCCAUUAGCAAUUUCCUAAACACAGUUGGAGCCUUACUCUAGAACCAUCUAUAAAUCCUGGCAGAGGAUUCAUUUCUGUAAUUCACACUUGCCUAUAUAGGUGCCAGGAAUGUCAAAAGACACUACACAACUGCUGGUGUGCCCCAACCAAUAAGGUGCAAUGUAGAACAGAAAUGUCUUUGAGUGUGUUCUUAGGAAAAAACAAAAACCAAAAUGACCCUUCAAUCUACACACAUGAAUGCAGCCUUGUUUCAUUUGACAACAUCCCACUAUAUUUAACAUGGAGAGAUUUUACGACAAAUAUAUAUCACACUACUUUUAUUCCCAGAAACCAGGUUUUCAUCAAGUUAUGGUUCUGGGAGUAAAUCAAACUCCUCAUGCUUGGGAGGAAUAAUUUUAUUUUUGAUUAUCACUUCACACAUGCACACAUAUACAUUUGAUUAUCACAAUAGAAAAGAUUGUUUCCAGCAACCAAGUACAAGUGAAUGACAGAGCUUCACUUUGCUCAUUGGACAAGUGAAUGACACAGUACAUGAGCAACAAAAAACAAUUCAAGCAGGCAGAAAACAGCCCACAAAAUCACACAUAGUUCUUCAAAGCUAGAACCGAAACACACGAAUGCAUUCACAAAACCCAUGAGCAUCUCUACAAAAUUCAUUGAACCUGUAAACCCAUCAAAAGUGACUUGGACAAAAAGAAACCAGAUCACUCAAAAAAAUAAAAUCUGCAUUUUAGUUCAAUUAGAUUCUAAAAAAUUCCUAUUAUCUUUUCCUUUGUAGGUUCCAAACCCACUCCUACAAGAUCAAAAUUCCCCACAAAAUCCCAAAAUAAACCAUUGGCAUGAGAAUCAUAAAGAAUCAUACUAGAGAAGAUAUUAAUAAACCAUUUCCAAACAGAAAACAACUACCUAUGGUUUAACCCCAUUGUUGAGAAAGAGCAAGAACGAAAACUGAAACCUAAAUAAAGAGAGAAAAUGGGGAAGACAUUACCUUGAAAAAGCUUGGUGAGGGUUGUGGAACCAAUGAGCUACACAGGGAUGAGGUGAGGGUUGGGGAUCACCGGUUGCAAUUAAGACUAGAGAACUACAAGGGAUGGACGUUAGGCGUUGGGUUGCAAUUGUGAUUUGGGGGAGGUUUAAAAAACUUGUUUUUUCUAUUUAGAAAAAAACCAAAUAUUUUGGUUUUUUCUAUUUAGCCAAAAAUUUUAAAAAUUCAGUAAUAAGUCAUCAAAAACUAGAAAAACAAACAACCUAAAUUUUGAAAGCAAAAUGCUUUUAGCAAAAAGCCAAAAAAAACAAACGCCACCUAAUUAAGUCUCAUGCCAUUUGUCAAAAGAGGCUUUAACACUCAUGCAAGUUCUUUUUAUCCAAGUAAUAGAAGUGUAACGGUCGACAUCGGAGUUGGAGAUUGAUGUUGAAACCAUUUAUAAUCGCUUACUUGUGUCCUCAUAGCUUUAAAAAACAUUUAUAAGAUUAAGAGCAGUCCAUACUUAUAUAGUGUAAGAAAUUUUCUCUCAUAUUCGAUGUUGAAUAUCACAAAAAAUUGAUUAAUUAUAUUUUUGAUAAUGAGAUAGUUAUGAUUCAAUGUGUAUAAUUGGUUGGAUUUGGCUUUGAAACCAUAAAGAGGUAAAGAAGUUGAAUGACAAUAAGUACAUGUAAUUGCAAUACACUCAAAUCUUUUAAAUAUAUACAUAAACAUGACUAUACAAGAGAUGCAUAGAUUAUACAAAGAAUACAUACAUUGUUCCUAAACUUAAGGGUAAUGAUUGAUUGCUCUUGAUUUGUGAGUGAGUUUGAUUCUCUCAUAAAAUACAUUUUUUAAAAAUUUCUUCAUAUUUUUAACAUUCUCUCUCUCUCUCUCUUUCUCUCUCUCUCUUUUUAAUACGAUAAUUAUUUUUUUAAUAUUUUUUUUUCUUGUUUAGUGCUUUUCAAAAAUCAAACAUAUAGCCUAAAAAAUUUAAAAAUAUUCAUAUUUUUGUUUAGAUAGAUCAUAUCUAAGAUUUUUCAAAAAUAAUUUUUUUUUUCUAAUUUGACAAUUAUUUUAUUUUUUUAAUCAAAUAUUGCUAAUGAAACUAGGGUUGUUUUUUGAAGUUACCUCUACCCAAUUCAUUUUUUAAACUAACAUUUUGCCAAUCUCAUCACCAUAGACAUGCAUCAACCACUCUAGCACUUCAAUAAAAUUAGUAUGACCAUGAAUUAGAAUAUACAUACUGUUGUCGCCUCGCGUAUCAGGUGGACCACGUUGCUGCUAGAUGGAUAGACACGCGAUUCUCAACACACAAAGGGUUCUUGAUUCAGCGUUUGUACCUGCAAAAAGGCAUCCGGACAGGGUGUCCGGACGCACCCUCCGAUGGUUUUGUUAGCCAUGGUGAGGGAGAGAUAUAUAAAUCAGUUGGCCUUUUACUAGGUAUCAAGAGGUUACCAGGGGAUCAACCCUUUCUUCUUCGUGUGAAGUCAUAUAUAUACAGCUUCAGGGGUACUGCUCCUUUCAUUAAUGGUGAGGAGAUAUUUUAUGUUGUGAUGAUGAUAAUAGGUGUUAGUAGGAGCACUAUCAUCCUACGAAUGGCUGUCAGAGAUCGUGGUAGGUGAUGUGGUUGUCAGAGAUCGUGGGGAGUGAUUAUGUAGAAUGAUCGUGGGAAGUGACUUGCUGUCACUUCCUCUUGUCUUCUCAUUCUGCAGGUGAUGGGAUGGGGACCAUGGCUGCUUGUUGUGAUUGCGUGUAAGACUCGCUUUACUUUAAUUGACCAUCCAGACGAUUUAUAUCCGGAUGGAUCAUGCUGAUUAUCCGGAUGUGUUGUGGAGACUAUCCGGAUGUCUAUGCUCUGCCAGCGUCGUUUGCUCUUCCUUGGAUAGGAGAAGCUGAAACGUCGUUUGCCUUUCCCUGAGGUGGUCCGGAUAGGAUAACUGCACCAUGCAUAUCCUUAGGGGAAUCCGGAUGAUGAUGGUCCGGUUGAUAACACGUGCCACGCGUCACCAUGAGCUGCGUGCCACGUGUUUCCCAAGGGGAGGGGUCCCUACAUUGCCCCCCUUUUUAACUUGCCUAUUUUGCCCAAAAAAUGGGCGGGUUAAAAAUAACUGGGUUUUUGAAAAUUGAAAAAGUCCCUUCGACUGACUGGGCCACGUGGCGAGUGGGGGUGCGGAAGCCAAAAAGGCAUUUAUGACGAGCCGCCGACCCUGUGUAUCCCCAGGCAAUAUGUCGUUUCAAUGAUAACAUGGCUGUUGGUUUGGCUUUCCGAGGGGCUGUCCUGCUAUAAAUAGGGCACUGUACCUCUUUUUGCAAUUUUUCCUACUGCAUUCUCUUGAGAGCCUUUCUUCUUACUGCUUUUUCCUGCGUCCUUUGCUUCUAUGAGACAAACUUCGAAAGCUCUUUUGUACCGGUGCUUUUGUAUCGUGACUUUGUUUGUUUGCUGCUGGUGAUUUUGUAUCAAGGCAGUACCCGUUCUUCUUCUUCGGUGCUUUAUUUGGUACGUACCUCUUUGCUACUGCCAUUCCUUUGGUUGCAUUUGCUGGCUCUUUAAAUUUGUUUUCUGGCUUGCUUGGGUGUUGUUUUGGACGAGUCGUUUGCAAUUGUUGUUGAAUGUUGGUACUUUGUUGUUGUUUGGAGGGGUUUUUGAGGGGUUUUUCUGACUGUUUUGGGUUAGGGUUUGUGUAUUUUCUGACUACUUGGUUUGAUUCGUUGUAUUGCUUUUGUAUGUAGAUUUUGAUUUAGCUUUGUGGUAAGAAAUGGCUCCAAAAAAGACUGUUUCAUCUGUCCGGGUUAGCGAAGCUAGCGAAAAGGCGAUAAACAAAUUAAAUGCGAAGGAGUUCCGGGAGCGAUUCUGCAUCCCCCAUGACGUAUUGAUAGACUUGGUGAACGAGGAGGCGGCUAUGCCUACUGAGAAAGGUGGAGAAAAUGUUAUCCUCUUCACAAAGGAACAAUUCAACGCGGGGCUCCGGUUCCCUCUGCCGGCGUUGUUCAAGGAAUUCCUCCACUUCUCUCAGAUUCCACCCAUCUUCAUUCAUCCCAACCUUGUCCGGGUGCUGAUGGGAUGCAGCAUCAUCAACAUGCUGUACAGCCUCGACCUGACGCUACUGGAAGUGUUCUUUGUCUAUUCCCUGAAGAAAGCAAAGACUGAUAUCUUCAGUGUGUCCGCGCACCUGCCCUCCCUUCAAAUGGUGACAGAGCUGCCAGAUUUGACAAAGGGAGGGGCGAGGGGGCUGGUGGCAGUCCGGGGUGGAUGGGCGGGGCUAUCGGAGCAUCCGUCGAGGCCUUUUUCUCCAAAUUAUACCUUAAAAAUUCCGGGUAAUCUUGUUUUGCGAUUUUUUUUUUUUUUUUUUUUUUGUCCGGAUUUUGCUUUGCUAAUUUUUUCUGAUUUUUCCGGACUGAACUCUCACCUUUUGUUGCUGACAAUGCAGGUUUGGAAUUGAGGGGCCACCUUGUGGAUUGGGUGGAAAAGGCGUCCUUCGCCUGCGUCUGCAAAUUAUUCGAAAUAGAUCCCAAGGAGAGGGCCUACAAAACAUUGCUUUCCGCGCGGAAUUUGAUAGAGGUCGUCCGGGAGCCCCAGGAAUAUGUUAUCAAUAUUCUUCCUAGGAAACUGGCAAAUGAUGAGAUAGUGCCUGGGGAGCAUUAUACUGUGAAGGAGCUCCCCCUCUAUCAGGAAGCUAAAGAGGCUGACGCUGAAAGGCGGCGAAAGCUCCUGGAGGAUAGAGAUCAGAAAAAAACUGAAGGCACUAUCCGGAAGGCUCCCGGACAGAAGGGGGGUCCGGACCCUCCUUCAAAGAAAAUUCCAGGAAAGAGGGGGAAGCUAGUGAAGAAGCAUGGGAAGGAUGUGAAGGAACCCACUCCUCCCAAGGAGUUUCCUCCUCCACAAACUACCUAUGAGGGGGAAGUAAUGAUAGAGGAGCCAGUAAAUGCUGCUCCGCACUCUAUCUCAAGCGGCCCCGGACGCAUGUCGGGGUUGUAUCAUUCAGGCCCUUCCUUAGUCGCGGCUGCGCGUCUGGCUAACGUGGCUGAGGAAGCCGCAUCUAUCAACCAUCCGGGCAACCUUAAUCCGGAUGCUGAUGCAGCUGAAAUGGCCCCGUUGGAGGAAGCGGGGGCAGAAAGCCAAAGUCAGCCUUCCGACGACCCGGAUCGCUUGGCCAUAGUCCUGGUGAAAGGUCUUCCUCUCAAGAAGCCGCGUUUGACGCGCGAUCUACAGUCCGGACUCUUUGAGCGGCUUCAAGAGCGGCAGCAAGAGAUUGAAGUUAGCUGCGCUUCUGCCCAUGACGCUCAUCCGGAUGGAGGCGAGGUGGAGAUGGCAACUGAGACCUCAGCCGCCCCGGCAAUAAUUCCUGCUCAAGAUGCAUCCGGACACAUGUGUUCGGACGAAGAUGUGGGGGUUCCGAUUCCGGGACAAGAGUUACCUUCUGCUUCCUCAUCUGAGGAAGAACCUGCUGACGAUGCCGUUCCUGCUAGCCCCUUCAGCUACGCGGAGUUGGAAGUUAAGUUAAAGCAGAUUACUCCUGAUUGGAAAGCCAUCAAGCCCUCUACUAAGAUGUUUGAUAUGAUAGAAACGGUACACCGUUGUCUUGUGCUUUUGCUUUUUGAUUUUUUGUUGCACUGAUGUGUUUGUUGUAGUAUGACUUAUGUGUUUGCUUUUCUUGUUUGUGUGUCAGCUGGUGAGGGGCCUCCGCGGCAUGGCUCAACAACACGAUCUUUUUACUCAGCUGCUGCAGACUGCAGACUAUAUGAAGACCUUUUCCUCUAGGCGCCAAGAGAUUGAAAAUCAACUGCAUCUGAGAAUGGAGGAGGCUGAGGCCAGUCUAUCCACCAUGCGAGAGG
Molecule: long non-coding RNA, 17174 nt
Filed under: Vitis vinifera (wine grape)
Lineage: Eukaryota; Viridiplantae; Streptophyta; Magnoliopsida; Vitales; Vitaceae
Description: long non-coding RNA (VVIN_LNC005266)
Source: RNAcentral